CCUGCCUCCUCACACAGGACAUUUCUGUUCAGUGAGACUGAUCCCCAAGGACUGUCUCUGCUCUCAGUGUGAUGAAGGGGAAAUGGAUCCUAGCAGAUCGGAUUAGGUCAUGAGGCACGCACCCUUGGAAGACAGUGAGGUAAUUCUCGGGAAUCUCUGGUUAGUUCUUUUGUUUUGUUUUCCAAGACAGGGUUUCUCUGUAUAGCCUUGACUGUCCUGGGAUUCUCUCUGUAGACCAGGAUGGCCUCAAACUCAUAAAGAUCCGUCUACCUCUGCCUUCUGAGUGCUGGGAUUAAAGGCGUGCACCACCAUCGCCCGACCCUGGUUAGUUCUUAUAAGGGAGUUGUCAUAAAGAGAGCAAGUCUGGCCCCUCCACUUCUCUUUGUCUCCCCACUGCCUUUCACUAUGGUGAGAUCCACCAUGAUGCAAUAUAAGGAAGAGGAUCCUGCCAGAGCUAAGGCAGUGCAGGCACCAUGCCCUUGGUACAGCCAAACUGUGGCCGAGUGAGCUUCUCUUCACAUACAAUUCCUCUAGAUAUUUUUCCUGUAAUGUAAGAGCCAGAGUAACUCUCCAGAUGUUCUCUCAGAUGACAGGUCUCGAAUAUCCUUCAAGCAGGACCGUCAAGUCCCCUCAUUAACACUCUUGCUCUGUCAUCCCCCACCCCUACCCCCAGGAGUUCAAUGCUACGCACUGUAGAACUUGGGUGGGGACAGGAGUACAGGGUCCUGACCCUCAAUGAAUGGUUGGCCCAAGAGUCGGGGCCAGAAAGUGGCUGAGCUGAGAGGGUGAGAAGUGCCUUUCCAAGGAGCUGCACUUCCUGCCCUGAGCACCUGUCUGCUCCCCACACCUCUUCCAAGACCACAUCUUUCCCAUUCAUGGCAAACACAGCAGUUUAAGGCCUUAUUUCCUGGACUUCAGGUGGGGGUGGGGGCACUGGGAACAGCUGGCCACCAUUCAGUUAAUAACAAGGCUCCAAGCCCUGAAGACUGUUAUUAAAGCUCCCCCCUCUCCUUCUCCAGGCGAGGGAGUUGGCAAAGUGCUCUGAGCUCUUUGAAAAAAUAAGGUUCUCCACAAAUAUAAAGUACUUAUUAUUUUCAGUUCCCCUCAGAUCAAAUUAGGUGUCAAGUUUUAAUCUAUCACCUGACACCUCUGAUUGCUGGUUGCCAAGGCAGAAUGACUUAGCUUUUCAAGAAUGGGGGGAAUAAUUGCGUCUAUGAUGCUCCUUUGCCACACCUUCAACACACAGUCAAGCAUUUGGCACAGCCUCCUACACUUGCUCCUGAACCCUGAGCCAUGGAACUGGAUGCCUUUCCUGGUCUAGCCUCUCAGGUCCGGUCCAAACAGCUUCUCAUGAAGGAACAGGCAAGGUCCUGAGUGGAGUCAGCAGGACCCCACAAGGUACACAGAAGCAAGGGUUCUAUACCCCGCGUUCUCAUGGAGUGUGGGAGACCAGGAAGUCACUCCAAGUGACAGAGGCGAGCCUGAAGAAAAGCCCAGUGUAUGUUGCUGAGUGGAGCCAUAUCUGCUGCUCUGGACAAGGGGUUGGCCAGAACUCUGGGUGGGUGCCGUGACCUUGGGAAACUGACUCUUCCUAAAAAAGGAACUUACUUUGGUGGCUGGUGUAACGGUUGCUCAUCAACUCCCACACAGGACAAGGCAAGGCACCCUGGGCUAGAGAACUUGCCCUAGAGAACCCGCUGCUGCUCUGGUGGGUUUGUGCCCCACAAUAAAGGACCUUUAGUUUUCCCUCUUCCUAAAUUGUGGAAGUUUCCUGAAAUGUGUGGUGGCCUCCUGGGAAGUACAAAUGGGUGAGUUUUCUUCUUCACCAGAGCCUUCUAUCUCAGGCCUGAGGUUGGAAGUGGAAGUGUAUUUGACUCCACUGUCAGGAGGCAUGUGGCUUAGAGAUGAGCCUGGGGACUCAAGCGGCAUCUUCCCUGUCACCAUGAGCCCAUGACAGAACCCUGACUUGCGGACCCCACACUGGAGCACCCUCCAGGAAAGCCAGCCUGUCUGCCUACAGCCAUUACAGUACCACAGUUAGCGCACUGGUUUCCCCUAGAAGGAUAGCUAGGUCACACUGUCCUGGGUUUGCAUCCAGUGCCUACCCGGCUUCCUUUCACGUCUGAUGCUUUGUAUUGGGAUGGACUCAGUCUCUGUGUAGAGUAACAUAGGAGGCAAGGAUGAGAUGCCACAGCCCAAGAAAAGACCUGCCAGGAAGUACAGGGCACUGAAGCAUGUGGAAGACACCGAGGGUAGGAAAGGUGAUGGAGGAGCCAGUUCAGGAUGAGAGGAAAAGGCUGAAUCUUCCCCAGGAAAGGCCCUGGGGCUUGGGAAGCUCGCCUAGAGAACCAGUUUGUCAGAAGCUAAUGGUCAAAGGUAGUCUGGCCAGAGACCUUGCCUUGGAAGCAGGUGGGGAACCCAUAUCAAAUCCUUUCUUUGUCACAUAAGAAAAAUCAAAGCCCAAAGGGGGAACUGUGUCCUCGUGAGGUCACAGAGCCAGUCAGUAGCAGAGUCAGGAUGAGGACCUAGGAUUUCCAGUGUCCCACUGAACCUCCCCACCCUUUCCUGCUCCCAAUUUGUGCCCACCCCUAAAGGCAGAAAAGGGACCCUACCACUCACCAGGUGCUAUGUCCAUACAAUACAACAUUGUUGGGGUACUGUGGAGAGGGGUAGACGAUGUCCUGUGGGGGGUGUCAGCACUAAUCAUGGGAAUGUGGAUAGGGUGCCUAAUCUCUCUGGACCUCAGUUUCUCAAUCUAUCAGGCUGGUCACAAUCUGAAGACAGGUUGAAAUGGUGGAUAUACGGUCACAGCCAAUGCUCAGAUCGUAAGACAACAUUGUCAAGUUCAGCUGGCUCUUCAGUUCAGCUAAAGAGGCUCAGCAAGCAUUCACUCUGUCAUCUUUUGUUGAGUGACUCAACUCGGUAGAAGCUGAAAGGUUAACAUGCCCUUGAUCCCGCCACGCACUCCAACGCCAUGUGCAGCUUUGGGUGAAACAAUCCAAAGCUUCUCUUUGAAUAAAGUAUUAUCCAUAAGUGGGAACACAUUCAGCCAUGAUUAUCUAAUGGCAGCUGAGCCUAAUACACUCCUACAGUUAAUUCCUGAUGACUUCCAGCAGAUCCAGGAUACAGGACAAGUCAAGUCAAUGUAUAAAAGAAGCCUUGCAGGGUGCUGGCUGUAGGAGUAGGCCCAUAGGAAAGGUUGGGGGUAGCAGGGCUUGGCUCUGAGGGAGUUCUUAUCAGAUCUGGGGAAGCAUGAAGGUUCAGGGCCCCACUGAUUGAAACAGGGCGGGGAGAGGAGAGGGCUGGUGAGAUGGCUCAGUGGAUAAAGACACUUGUUGUCAGUCCUGAUGACCUGAGUUCGAUCCCCAGGACCCACGUGGUGAAAGGAGAGAACCAGCUCCCACAGAUUGUCUUCUGACUUACAUCCUUGUAUUGUCAUAUGCAUGUGUGUAUGCACACACACACACACACACACACACACACACACACACAGAGAGUAAUGCAUUACCUGCAUACAUACAUACAUACAUACAUACAUACAUACACGAUGUAUUAUUUAUUUAUUUCCUUAAAGUGGGGCAGAAGUAGCACAAGCUAAGUGGGGGCUCACAGAGGGGACCAUGACACCAUGACAGAACCCUGACUUGCAGAGCCCACACUGGAGCACCCUCCAGGAAAGCCAGCCUGUCUGCCUCAACCCCACCUUUUGUCAACCUCAACUCCCUAAAUACAAAACUGGAACUAUGAAGCACUCACCCCACCUCACCCCACCCCUCUCAACCCCACCCACACACCGUGAGCUUAGCAGCCUAGCAGUGCCAGGGGAGAUGGGCUUCUCCAUGUUCCUGCUAGCCCACCACUCAACAGCCAGUGCCUACAUUCCUCCCACUAGCCCUUCAUUCCCUCCUUGAGCAGAGAACUCACCCACAGUAGCCGCCAUGCCCGGGGAGAAGCGGGCCUCACAGAGCCGCCUCAGGAAGGAUGUCUUCCCCACAGCAGAAUCACCCACAAACACGAUCUUGAAGAGCCGGUCGGGGGUAGAGGGAAUGCGUUCCUCCUGUGGAUGAAAGACAGUCCGACCACCUGGUGGGCGUGGCCACUAGCCCCUGCUGCUGCCAGGCUGCCUUUUAUCAUCACUGCAGUGGGGGUCUCCACUGAGACCCCAGAACCAGGGAGGCCACUUCUGCCCCAGAACGCAGCUAGCACUGGUCUUGGAGCAUGGGGCUCCUUCUAGCAUGAACAAGAGAUCGUUAGGAGAAAUAACAGCCUUUCACAUAUGUUCAUGCCUGAUAGGACUUUGGGACAAGCAGGUAGGUCCUGGCUGAUGGAGUGGAUAAGCCAGGAAUGUAAACAGUUACUGAGAGUGUGGGUUCCCAGAGCACUGGGGAUGAGCAUGAGAAGGGGCCAAAGGUCCAGAAAGCAGAGCCUUAGGGAGAAGGCAGAAUUCUCUAUAGGGGCAGGGGAAGACAAGUGUGCUGGGUUUUUUGUUUGUUUUGUUUUGUUUUGUUUUUGUCAACUUAACAUAAGAUAGGGUCAUCUGGGAAGAAGGAACUUCAAUUGAGAAAAUGCCUCCAUCGGAUUGGCCUGUGGGGAAGUCUGUAGGGCAUUUUCUUGAUUAAUGAUUGUGUGGAAGGGCUCAAUUCACUGUGAAUGGUGCCCCCUUGCACAGGUGGUCUUGGGAGCUACAAGAAAGCAGGCUGAGCAAGCCAUGGGAAGCAAGCCAGUAAGCAGCAUUCUUCAACGGCCUCUGCUUCAGUUCCUGCCUUCAGGUUCCUGCCUUGUGUUCCUUCCCUGGCUUCCCUUCAUGACUAUGAGCUAAUUCAUCACUACCUGAGAGACUUGACGUUUUCGCUGGAGGUGAGAUUGUACACUGGCCAUAGAGUAGCUGUCCAUCCAGACCUACUCCUUCUCAACCAAGGGUCAUGAACUGUCCAACAAGGACACCAAGGAUGAGGCAGAGCCUGCCACAAAGAGGAAGGUGGACAUAGUACAGGCAAGGAAGAAAUCCUGGAGAGACCCACCUUAAGAAAUCCAGCUGCUUCAGGAGGCCCGACUUCUCCCGCUGCAGACUCUCUGUCACUCGGUACACUUCCCUGAGGAGGAGGCAGACACAGCCAGACUGACAAGACACAAGCCACAUAAGGACACGGUGUGACCAAACAAGAGGAGGUCAAGUUCUUGACCUUGGUGAGAUGCGUUGAAGGCCCAAGGUACCUAGUGUGGAAUGAUUUGCAAUGACCAUUUGUCAGCUACAGCGGCCCAGUUCCCCCUUCAUCUAAGAGACAGCUUUGCCUGAGUCCCACGGACCUUGGAGAUUCUGAAGAAAGAAUCAAACCAGGUCAAACAGACCCCAUGCCUUUUCUUGCAUCCCUAAAGCUACUGAAAAAAAAUGUGCAUUUUGAUAACUUCAGCUCUUCUUGGCUGGAAAGCCAUGUGUCGGUCUGUCCAGGGCUGGAUUUCUUCCAGGACCAAGCAAACUGAGACUGGAGGCCAGUGCUACAUUCCCCCCCCCCCCCACCUCCCCACACUCCCAAGAGGUCUUUCUUCUUGCUUUCCUGAGGAGGCUGCUGAGCAAGACACUCGACCUGGCUACCUGGUACUGUGAGCCAAGUGUCCUGAGCUCUAGGUACAGCUGCCACCUUGUAGAGCAUGCCACACAGUCUGUUUCUCUGCUCAGGCACAGAGAGGGGAGUGACCGGUGUUCGCAUCUAGCUGUGUCCCAGAGGAGGUCAUGGACCCUGUCCAGGCAUCCGGGCAAUUCUUUGAAGAGCCUUUUCCAGCUGGAGUUAUCCACAGCUAUGCCAAAGAGGACAACUAUGUCUGCCCUUCCCCUUAAGCAUCAGUGUCCCACAAGUGUCUCUGCACUCCCCUGGGUCCCUCCUUUCUUCUGCAGGAUGCCUAAUCCAACUUCAAGGUUUAGCAUCCGUAAUUACCUUUGGGUAUAAUUAUGUGAAACUGUCCUCAGAUCCCUGGGGGUUGGGUGACUCAUGGGGACUUUUCUAGGUUAAACACACAAUUGUGGCUUUAUCUAGGGUCAUCUGUGACUUGGUUUUAAAAUUAAAUUUUAAAAUGCUUAAAGUAGUUUUAGCAUUUGAGACAGGGUCUCACUAUAAAGCCCAGGCUGCACUUUGAACUAGGUCCAUGAGGCAGUCCUGGAAUUCAGAAUCCUCCUGCCUCAGUCUACCCAGUGGUGUAAUUACAUGCAUAUGUCAAUAUAUCCACCUUGUGGGGACUUUGAAUGAAGACACAUG
Peromyscus californicus insignis is the source of this 6251-nucleotide long non-coding RNA. RefSeq lists it as uncharacterized. NCBI's taxonomy places the organism in Eukaryota, Metazoa, Chordata, Mammalia, Rodentia, Cricetidae. The transcript is spliced from 7 exons. The record is from RefSeq and is a predicted model, not a curated record.